CAAUGGAACGCUAUUGACAUGGUUUAACACAACAUCACAGAAUGUAUAACGUUAACAUUCAACAUUACAAUUCAGAUAGUCACACAACAACCAGACAAGAUGCAUGUCCAUCAUUUGUUAAUUGUUUGUAGCAGUUAAACAGUAACACAAAUAGUUGUCCUAAUAGCACUGGUUCAGUAUGAUAUUUCAAAUUGCCUUAUGGCGAUUAGGCAACUAUGUGAACAAAUUCCCAUUAGUUCAAUGAGAAAUUGUUCCUUUGACCCCAGUGCAUCCAAAAGCAAGUCAAAACAUCAUCAUUCCCAGCACACUCUGAAAUUUGCUAGAACAGUACAAGGUUAACAAUUUAAGCUGAUAUAAGACUUUCCAUGUCCAUGACACAUCAGAAGCUUUUGUGCAUAUUUAAGCAAGGUUGG
Molecule: unclassified non-coding RNA, 413 nt
Filed under: Hevea brasiliensis (rubber tree)
Lineage: Eukaryota; Viridiplantae; Streptophyta; Magnoliopsida; Malpighiales; Euphorbiaceae
Source: RNAcentral